UGGACGUUGUCUUGCAGGUGUUCGUUUCCAACAACAGGCGACGGAGAGGUGGCCGCAAUAGGCAAUAUAGAAGCACCAAAAUGCAAGUGAGCAGCCUUAUAUCUACAUCUACUAGAAGUUUGUCCCAAACAAAAUGGAGUCAUAGAACAACUCAAAAAGUGAAAAGAGGUGGUAAUGAUAAAAUACCCCUGACAACGCCCAAUUCCUUCUCGACCUUGGCCUUCUUCUCUUUGAGGAUGUGGGCCUUUUUAUUGAGCUCCCUAAGCCUCUUCGCAACAUUCUCUAAGAUCUACAAUAUAUUGCACCAAUCUAGUCUAUUAAAAAGGAA
RNAcentral lists this long non-coding RNA (328 nucleotides) under Elaeis guineensis (African oil palm). RNAcentral describes it as "long non-coding RNA (EGUI_LNC024434)". The record is from RNAcentral. Lineage: Eukaryota; Viridiplantae; Streptophyta; Magnoliopsida; Arecales; Arecaceae.